UGAGGAAUCUUGCGCAAUGGGGGAAACCCUGACGCAGCGACGCCGCGUGGAGGAUGAAGGCCUUCGGGUCGUAAACUCCUGUCAGAGGUGAAGAAUGCCCGCAAGGGUUUGACGGUAACCUCAGAGGAAGCCCCGGCUAACUACGUGCCAGCAGCCGCGGUAAUACGUAGGGGGCAAACGUUACUCGGAAUUACUGGGCGUAAAGGGUGCGUAGGCGGCUGGGAAAGUCAAGGAUGAAAUCCCGUGGCUCAACUGCGGAACGGUCCUUGAAACUACUCGGCUUGAGGAUAACCGAAGAGAACGGAAUUCCCGGUGGAGCGGUGAAAUGCGUAGAUAUCGGGAGGAACACCUGAGGCGAAAGCGGUUCUCUAGACUACUCCUGACGCUGAGGCACGUAAGCUAGGGGAGCAAGCGG
This 415-nucleotide ribosomal RNA is filed under the name uncultured bacterium. RNAcentral describes it as "bacterial SSU rRNA". It matches the Rfam family "Bacterial small subunit ribosomal RNA", at positions 355 to 775 of the family's 1533-position model. The record is from RNAcentral.